UACGAAGGGGGCUAGCGUUGUUCGGAAUUACUGGGCGUAAAGCGUGCGCAGGCGGCUCAUCAAGUCAGAGGUGAAAGCCCAGGGCUCAACCCUGGAACUGCCUUUGAAACUGUUGGGCUUGAGUACGGGAGAGGUGAGUGGAAUUCCGAGUGUAGAGGUGAAAUUCGUAGAUAUUCGGAAGAACACCAGUGGCGAAGGCGGCUCACUGGACCGUAACUGACGCUCAUGCACGAUAGCGUGGGGAGCAAACAGG
Molecule: ribosomal RNA, 253 nt
Filed under: uncultured bacterium
Lineage: Bacteria
Description: partial 16S ribosomal RNA
Rfam family: Bacterial small subunit ribosomal RNA
Source: RNAcentral